Molecule: long non-coding RNA, 555 nt
Filed under: Rattus norvegicus (Norway rat)
Lineage: Eukaryota; Metazoa; Chordata; Mammalia; Rodentia; Muridae
Description: long non-coding RNA NONRATT023099
Source: RNAcentral
AGAGCCUCCUGUACAAGAACCCCCAGCAUCCUCAGAACACAGUGAAUGUAUUCCCUCUGCCAGUGCAGAAGUGGGACCAGAAGCUCGGAGCCUCAUAGACCCUGACUCUGAUUCUAGAAAUAAUUCUGGUUUUGACAAAGUAAGGCAGCCAGAAGGGUGUGUGGAACCUCUCCGGCCACAGUCGGGAAAUACCAACACAGAAUCUUUGCCAUCAGGGUAUGUCCAGAAAAUGGUUUUAAUGUUUGACUUCCAUUUAAUUAGAAAUUUUCUUAUGAAUUAUGACUAUUAGAUAUCUAUAUGAAAUGUUUCUUUUUUUUUUUUAAAUUAAGGUAGGGACUGGAGAGGUGGUUUAGCAGUUAAAAGUACACGUUUUUUGCAGAAGGCUCAAAUUUCAUUCCCGUGUACAUGACACAAGGUUAGAAAUUCACCUCUAGGAUACCAUGCCUCUGAUCUCUGUCAGCAUCUUCACUCAUGUGCAUACAUAUCCACACACCCAUGCACUAACACACACAUACACUUAAUUAAAAAUAAUAAAAAGUCAUAAAAUUUAACCCU